This 436-nucleotide ribosomal RNA is filed under the name uncultured bacterium. RNAcentral's name for it is "partial 16S ribosomal RNA". It matches the Rfam family "Bacterial small subunit ribosomal RNA", at positions 29 to 507 of the family's 1533-position model. The record is from RNAcentral.
AGCGAACGCUGGCGGCAGGCUUAACACAUGCAAGUCGAGCGGGCAUCCUUGUGGUGUCAGCGGCAGACGGGUGAGUAACGCGUGGGAACGUGCCCUUCGGUUCGGAAUAACUCAGGGAAACUUGAGCUAAUACCGGAUACGCCCUUUUGGGGAAAGGUUUACUGCCGAAGGAUCGGCCCGCGUCUGAUUAGCUAGUUGGUGAGGUUACGGCUCACCAAGGCGACGAUCAGUAGCUGGUCUGAGAGGAUGAUCAGCCACACUGGGACUGAGACACGGCCCAGACUCCUACGGGAGGCAGCAGUGGGGAAUAUUGGACAAUGGGGGCAACCCUGAUCCAGCCAUGCCGCGUGAGUGAUAACAGCCUUAGGGUUGUAAAGCUCUUUUCUCCGGGACGAUAAUGACGGUACCGGAGGAAUAAGCCCCGGCUAACUUCGUG